GUACGUGAAACCGUUCAGGGGUAAACGGGAGAAAUCCUGAAUUCGAAGGGGAUUGGAUUCAACUCCUAUACCGUGUUGUACAGGCUGCCAGACCCCACCAGAUGUCGCUGGUCGCCCACGGUGAUUCAUUUCGCUUGUGGUGUCGUUCCUGGCGGUCACUCGGUGGGAUGGUGUUGCUCUGACACCGGAGGAGCGCACUUCUUCCCUUGUAGAAACGUCGCGACCCGUUGGGUUCCGGUCUAAGGCCCGGGAUGGCAGACCAUGUGACCUGUGAGUCUGUGUACUCUCAGGCUCGUGGACUCCUGGUGACCCGGCCGGCUGCCCGACGGUAUGACCAGAGGAGUCGAUCCGCAAAAAUUGGGAAACACUGUGGCUGUGUUGCGUCCGGCCCGGCGCCGACACGUGGAGAUCGGGGACGUCAGUGCUGGUUGCACGGUCCUCGGUCUGCUGCGUCGUUGGGUCUGCUGGUGUCCUCGGACUGGAUCUGUUCUCCCGUCUGCGACGCCCACCUUCGGAUGG
This 519-nucleotide ribosomal RNA is filed under the name Phasmatidae gen. 3 sp. 1 TRB-2010. RNAcentral's name for it is "eukaryotic LSU rRNA". The record is from RNAcentral. Lineage: Eukaryota; Metazoa; Arthropoda; Insecta; Phasmatodea; Phasmatidae.